CGUGAAAUAGUGCAGAAGGAUUAUUCUCUCCGUAUGUGUAUUGAGGUUCUUCACAUAAAUACUGCUUUUAAUUUGGACCUUUUGAUAUGAAUACAUUGUGACUCCUCAAACCAAAUUCUGUUUCCUGCCUUCCUCUCAAAAGCUGUUUUUCCUUCCUCUGUCUCUGUAAAUUUCACCCCAAUCCUUCUAGAUGCUCAGGCUGGAAACAUUACAAUUGCACUCGGCUUCCAGAUGGACUCUCUACCCCAUCAUCCAGCUCUGCUCUCUCAUCUUCAAAGUGCAUCAUCGAGUGGUCCUCCUCAUGUCUGCUCGGACAGUCCAGCCUAAGUUUCCAGGCCCUCCUCAACUGUUGAAACCGCUGGUUGUUCCACCUACUUUCUCCUUUGUAUUUCAGAAGUCCACUUUUUAAAAAUCUUACAUCCCAGAGGAACUUUAAAACUAACCACCACCAACCAACACCACCAACAAAAAAGGGCAGUCCAAAGGUAAAUUUCAAAGACGAUCCAUGUCGCAAAAACAGGAGAAGGUGAAAAUUACACCUUGUCUUUUCCUGGGGAGAGUGGGGGAGGAAGCAAGUUCUCAUCAGGACCUUCCCAUCCUACAGUCUGACACCAUUCUGCUCCAAGCCUGUAUCUUAUCCUGUCACUGUCCAAGCCCAGUCCAGUGUCGCACACAGGCUUCCUCCCCUGCAGUAACUGCCCUAAGGCAUCUGCAGGUUGACUGCCUCGUUUUUCUCCUAUCAGACAUGCCUUCUCUCAUUAUCCCUAUCUGCCAUUCUUAAUUCAGAGCUACGUCUAUCUUUAUUCAUAGCAGUUAUCACUAUGCAAUGUAAUGGGCUUUCUCUGUUUUUCCUUUCUAGAGCAAAAGUUUAAUGAGGGAAGAAGCUGUUCCCUUUGCUCAUGGCUACAUCUCCAGUGCCUGCUGUAGAAAGGAGAUAGUUAAGAAACACAGUGACUGAAUGGGGGUUAUUUCAUAUAUUGGAUAUGUAUUUAUCAUACACAGUCUACAUUGACUAUCAAACCUGUAGAGCAAAAAUAUAAAACUAAACCACUUAAUAAAGAUUUAUGGGAAGAAGUAAUGUGUAAUAAACUGAACAAUAAAGGAAAAUUUACACGUUAGAAUUUAAAUAAAGAAACACAAACUCCAAAGUAUACUUAAGUAUGCAUUUACAAAGGUAGGCUUAAAAAGGUUUUCCUUUUGAUUUUUUUGUUUUUGAGACAAUUGUCCUCAAGUUUUCAAUUCUCCUGCCUCAGCGUCUCUAAUUCUGGGGUUACAAGAAAGUACCAACAUCAUACUCUGCUGAUAUUUAAUUUACAAACCCUACUCUAAAAAUAUUGAAUUUUAAAUUCAUGAGAACAUUUUAUAAAAUACAUUUUGUUGCCAUGCUUAAUACAAUGGUAAUUUGUUCAUACAUUUUCUUAGUGUCACUAGAUACCAGAUUUAUUUAAAAACUAAAGAGACACCAACCAGACAUGAUGAAACACCCCGACAAUCAUAAUGCUUAGGUGGUGGGUUAAGAGGCUCACGAGUUGGAGGGCAGGCUAGGCUAUAAAGUGAGAUAAUUCAAAAUAAAUUUGAAGUAAAGACGCUAGAAAUAUGAUUUUCAAGUGAGGAUUUGUAAUCUGUUACCUGCAGGGAAAUCCAUAUCUGUGCAGUAUUUAAAAAGCCCUUAUUCGUGUAUUUACUUAAAGGGACAAUGGUAUGUAACAUUUAAAAUCAGGAAAGAGUAUUGUUAAAACCAAAGCAAUCAUUUUGAUAAUACUUUUAGAAUUCUUACAUUUUGAAAAUGUUAUAUUUUUAUUACUAUCCUCUAUUCUAGCAGAACUUGUCAAGAAAAGCAAAUAACACUUAGUAAGAAUUGAUAGCUCAUGCCAAAAAUGAGAGAAGAAUAUGUCAAGGAAUAUGACAAGCAAUAGACCAUGAACAAGAAGAAGCAGAUUCCACAUCCUAUCAGGUGCAGUUCAGUGAGAGAAGGAGGGAGACCUGGAACAUGCAAACAGAUGCUGGCUCAGCCGAGAGGCAUCAUACACACAGAACGUCUUUCCAUGGGGACGCAUACUGUCGAUUUCUAAAAACCAUUUCAAAUCAUCUUGGGCUUCAUCUUUUUCCUUCUUUCUUUUUAUGAUAACAAAUACACACUUUAAAGGGAUGUGACACUUGACUGCUUCUACCUGAGAGGGACUUAGAUAAAAUUAUGAACUCUUUACAUCACGUGAUAGAUUUUUUUUUUUUUUUCUGUUGGUACCCGGAGGAUGGAAGUCACACGCCGAAGCCCUUACUGCUCUUUCCACUUGUGUCAGUGGGCUCACACUGCUGCUGUUUUAUGAACAAUUGGGGUGUCGGACAAAAUGAGGAGGUGAACAUUGGAAUUGUAAUGGAAGGUUUCUGCAUCAGUGUUAUCAGCGAAGUCUGUAUAUAAAUGGAAGCAGAUAUGUCAUUUACAAGUAUUCGUCAUAACAAGCACUGGUGUACUGUGCUGAUGUUGGGCCUUUGACGUGACUUCUCUGUAAGUGUUGGAUGCCUCUGCACCAUGACUGUGCAGCAAUGGCAAAAACGUACAAUGUAAGUGGUUCUCAACCUUCCCAGUGCUGUGACCCUUUAAUACAGUUCCUCAUGUUGUGGUGACCUCCAACCACACAAUUAUUUUCAUCGCUACUUCAUAACUGUAAUUUUGUUACUGUUACAAAUUGUAAUGUAAAUAGCUGUGUUUUCUGAUGGUCUUAGGUGACCACUGUGAAAGAAAUGUCACAACCCAUGGGUUGAGAACCUCUGGCUUACACGGCCCUACUACAUCCAGACUGUUUCUUUGUAAGAGGGCUGUGAAGAGCCCUAUAAUAAGUAACCUGACAUUCGUAGAGACCUGGAUAAAUAAUCUGGCAUCCCAAGGGCCACUAAACUCUCAACAAUACUUCAUGAAUGGUUGCUAUUUCCAAAGAUUUAGUAAUGUAAAUAAUAAGCAAUAUUUGAAUUUAUUUUCAUUUUUUUUGUGUCUGCUAUGUGUUUAUAUAGGACUGUGUGUUUAUAUGGCUGUUGAAAAUUCAGUGUUCCACUGUAAAGAAUAACAACAGUUUCAAAGAACACAGUAAAUGGAUGCAUGUAGAUCUAGUACCUGGUUGAAGUAAGUUUUACUUUUCUUUGUCUAUAAAGACACAUAAUAAGGAAAUAACAGAUUUCAUUGCUAUAAAAUUUGCAUUACACAUACCAAAUUAUGUUAAUGAUUGUAUUUAUUGCUAUAAUUCUUAUAUGUUGGUUUUAAAAUUAUUAAGGUUGUUUGUAGAUGAAUGCUUUAAUUAUCAGAUACUAUGAAAACAUGAAGAAAUAAAUAAAUAAGCAAACUUC
Long non-coding RNA from Peromyscus californicus insignis, 3339 nucleotides. RefSeq lists it as uncharacterized. NCBI's taxonomy places the organism in Eukaryota, Metazoa, Chordata, Mammalia, Rodentia, Cricetidae. The record is from RefSeq and is a predicted model, not a curated record. The transcript has 2 exons.